This 293-nucleotide ribosomal RNA is filed under the name uncultured bacterium. RNAcentral describes it as "partial 16S ribosomal RNA". It matches the Rfam family "Bacterial small subunit ribosomal RNA", at positions 775 to 1067 of the family's 1533-position model. The record is from RNAcentral.
GGAUUAGAUACCCUGGUAGUCCACGCCGUAAACGAUGUCUACUUGGAGGUUGUGGCCUUGAGCCGUGGCUUUCGGAGCUAACGCGUUAAGUAGACCGCCUGGGGAGUACGGUCGCAAGGUUAAAACUCAAAUGAAUUGACGGGGGCCCGCACAAGCGGUGGAGCAUGUGGUUUAAUUCGAAGCAACGCGAAGAACCUUACCAGGUCUUGACAUCCAGAGAACUUACUAGAGAUAGUUUGGUGCCUUCGGGAACUCUGUGACAGGUGCUGCAUGGCUGUCGUCAGCUCGUGCCG